CGUAGGGGGCUAGCGUUGUCCGGAAUCAUUGGGCGUAAAGCGCGUGUAGGCGGUCCGGUAAGUCCGCUGUGAAAGUCGGGGGCUCAACCCUCGGAUGCCGGUGGAUACUGUCGGGCUUGAGUACGGAAGAGGCGAGUGGAAUUCCUGGUGUAGCGGUGAAAUGCGCAGAUAUCAGGAGGAACACCAAUUGCGAAGGCAGCUCGCUGGGACGUUACUGACGCUGAGACGCGAAAGCGUGGGGAGCAAACAGGAUUAGAUACCCUGGUAGUCCACGCUGUAAACGAUGGGCACUAGGUGUGGGGGGUGUCGACUCCCUCCGUGCCGAAGCUAACGCAUUAAGUGCCCCGCCUGGGGAGUACGGCCGCAAGGCUAA
This 373-nucleotide ribosomal RNA is filed under the name uncultured organism. RNAcentral describes it as "bacterial SSU rRNA". It matches the Rfam family "Bacterial small subunit ribosomal RNA", at positions 526 to 897 of the family's 1533-position model. The record is from RNAcentral.